UACAGAGGGUGCGAGCGUUAAUCGGAAUUACUGGGCGUAAAGGGCGCGUAGGUGGCCUGUUAAGUCGAACGUGAAAUCCCCGGGCUCAACCCGGGAACUGCGUCCGAGACUGGCAGGCUCGAAUCCGGGAGAGGGAUGUGGAAUUCCAGGUGUAGCGGUGAAAUGCGUAGAUAUCUGGAGGAACACCGGUGGCGAAGGCGGCAUCCUGGACCGGUAUUGACGCUGAGGCGCGAAAGCCAGGGGAGCAAACGGG
Molecule: ribosomal RNA, 253 nt
Filed under: uncultured bacterium
Lineage: Bacteria
Description: partial 16S ribosomal RNA
Rfam family: Bacterial small subunit ribosomal RNA
Source: RNAcentral